UUUACCAUGAAUUGUACAUUCAAGACAGUCAAUAACCACAGCACCAUGUAUGUGCGAUGGUACAACUAUGGGACUGAGGGACUAAAGAAAGAGUUGGUGAAUGAGAGCGAUGUGCUCACAACCCUGCAUUUGGACAAUGGGUUUGCCUCUCUCACUUUGAAGAAUGCGAAUUCAUCUGAUACAGGAACCUAUGUGUGUGAGGUGGGGAUCACAGCAAGGAACCUCUCUGGGAAUGGAACAGGAACCCAAGUGACCAUCGAGAAAUUUCCCAAGCUGAUGGUGAAUCAGACCCCAGUCAAUAUCCAUGCGUCAGAAGGGUCAGAUCUCACCGUGGAGUGUAGAUUCACGGUAUGGAAUAAACACAAGACCUUGUAUGUGAAAUGGUAUAAACAUAGCGGAACUGGGGGAACGAAGAAGGAGCUGGUGAGUGAAAGAGGCGGGGGGCCAGCAGCCCUGGCUUUGGAAAAGGGUUUUGCUUCGUUCACUCUGAAGAACGUGAAUAUAACCAAUACAGGAACCUACGUGUGUGAGGUGGGGAGCACAGCGAGGAACUGGUCUGCAUCAGGAGCCGGAACCCAAGUGACCAUCACUCAUAAAAGGAGCAAUGCCUCCCACGUUGUUUUCGUCAUCCGGAUGGUUCUCGGGGCCCUUGUUAUAAUCUCGGCGGUGAUGAUUGUUGCAGAGUGCGUGAUUUCAGAGAAGAGGGGUGAGUGAAAUGUCUUCAGUGCAGUCCCUGUGCAGAAUCAGCCACAGAGCUUGAGUUACACGCGAGGUCCUUCUGCCUUUUCCUUCUGGGCAACUUCCCAGUCCCAGUGCGUUGAAAUCGAAAAGCUGUUUCAGACCCGGCUGGGACUGUUUCCUUGGCCUGUCUGUUCUGGUUUCUGUCUAACCAGAAAUCCGGGUAUCUCAGAACUAGAAGCACAGAGUUUAGGUCUCCAUCUUGUAAAUGUUCCUGAAGGCCUUUACCUCUCAGGUCUCCCUUUCACAGCACCGAUGAUCUUUUCCUGUUGCUGCGUCUGUCCAACGUGCCCUGUUUAUUUCUGGCUGGCUGGCACGCACGGAGCUAAUGCAACCACUUGGACAAGUGUGCUGCACGUACUGCAGGAGUAUUCUUUAGGUUCUAACUUACUGAGUCUGAUUUUUCCCCACAGCUGGUGUCAAUCGGACAAUAUGAGGAUUAGCUGUUAUAGCGUACCCUUGGAGAUGGAGCUCUCAGACACCUGUUACCCAGGCAUUCCCCCAAACACCGUGUUGACCAACCAGCCUGUCAGAUUCUGCACCUGCAAAUAAACCUUGAACAGAAGGGAGGGGAUGCUGGAUA
Molecule: long non-coding RNA, 1321 nt
Filed under: Chrysemys picta bellii (western painted turtle)
Lineage: Eukaryota; Metazoa; Chordata; Testudines; Emydidae
Description: lncRNA (ENSCPBG00000016816.1)
Source: RNAcentral